This is a long non-coding RNA of Sitophilus oryzae (rice weevil), 743 nucleotides long. RefSeq lists it as uncharacterized. NCBI's taxonomy places the organism in Eukaryota, Metazoa, Arthropoda, Insecta, Coleoptera, Curculionidae. The transcript has 3 exons. The record is from RefSeq and is a predicted model, not a curated record.
UGUACUUUGGUGUUUGGUGUACUUCACAGAAGGUAGAAGGUGUACUUGCUCCUUGCUCCGUGUCCGUGGUCCGUGCAGUGAGUGCUUUACCCGACAUCAAACGCGUUAUGUUGAGUUAAUUCUUUUUUUUUUGCAACAAAAUGGAUUCAGAUUCCUCAGUGUCCUCUGAUGAGAUUGACUGGCUAGGGGUAAAUUGUGGUGUUUUUGAAGAUGAAGAUGAUGUGGUCAAUGUCGUCAAUGACGGAAAUUCCCGAGUAUUUGACAACGGUGUUAACGAUGUUAAAAAAAUCAAAAACUUUUCCCGGGAAAAUACAGCGGCGGCUGCGUGUUCCAUUUUGCAAAAAAAAUAAAAGAAAAAGAGAGACGUCUGGUAACAAAAAUGGCCAUCAUCGGGGGUUUUCUUGAGUACGGACCUGAGAAUAAUCGGUAAUGGUGGUUAUCGUCAGCAUUUAUUAUAAUUUCUUAGCAAUCAUGUUAACUUUAUAUUAUCCCCUUUGUUGAUAAAAAAACCAACUACCUACCUAUGCUAUCUUAUUUUUAAUAAAAUAUAAAUAAUGUUAAUAUGUUUAUUAUAUUUUUCGUUUAGUGCUUGUGUAUUUUCAUUUUAAAACAUUUUUUAUACCACAAUCCCUCAAUAAAUUAUUAUUUAAGAUAUUAAAAUAAACAUUUUUGGGCGUGGCACCCAAACAUUUUCACCUCCGGCGGUCAUUCAGUGCGUCCCGCUUUUUCUUCUUCUAAAUAUG